Long non-coding RNA from Prinia subflava (tawny-flanked prinia), 2832 nucleotides. RefSeq lists it as uncharacterized. The record is from RefSeq and is a predicted model, not a curated record. The transcript is spliced from 4 exons. NCBI's taxonomy places the organism in Eukaryota, Metazoa, Chordata, Aves, Passeriformes, Cisticolidae.
AAAUCAAAGGGUGAAAGAAGAGAAGAGUGUCAGUUUCUUUUAUAUGUAGUGUAAAUUCUUUUGUAGCAGUGAGCUAGUGGGACUGAUUCUUCUUUGUCCUUGCACGAUGUUUCAAGUCUGAGCAAACUGGUGUGAAGCACACCCUUUGCUUAAAGGUAAAGAGGUACAAGACAAUUGAGAAUCUGUCCCACUUGGCUUUCAUUUACGGUAAGUUAUCUUAGAGAAAGGUUAAGAGCUUUCAGCUACUGAAAACUGGUGCUGCUUAGGGCCAGAUUCACUAAAACUGUAUGCACACUUCAUAGCAUUUCUCUACGGGGGUUUUAUCCUCCAGUUAUCCUUCUGUCUUUGAUCAUUAACUCCUUUGUCUUGAGAACAGAAGAAAAGCUUUACUCUGCUUCAUUAUCUUCUUCUUUUACCAUAUAGGAAGUGAAGUACAACACUUUUAUUCAGGUUAAUGUUUCCCUCCCCUAUGCAUCCUCUUCCAAAAUGAAGGGAAGGUCUGGGAAAUAAGCAUCAAUAUGUCUGGCAGGAGAGCAAGCAAGAGAGCCCAUCUGCAGCUGAAUUUAAGAAGGCACACUUGUUUGGAAGACCUACCUAGGGUACAAGGCCCAUCCCACCUAAUGUAGGUUUCUACUUCUCCCACUAAGGGAAGAAGGAAUCAUGAGAGGGCAGAUCUGUAAUGACCUGCAGUCAACAAAUUUUCCAUUUGUGGUCUCAAGGAAUGUUUUCACUAGUGAGUUUUGUCUGUAAGAAGUGAAUACUCACUAUAAUGUAGUAAGUCAUACCUUCCUUUCUAGUGCAUAAAGCUUAUUUUUAGUGAAUAUGGCCCUUAGGAAAAAGGAGUAAUUGUAUGCUUUGAUAAAUACCUAUGACUCUCCACAAGCAAAACCAGGUUUUGCUGUAGCAUGCUAAUUUAAUCUAAAACAAUCUAUCUAAUAAAAUUAUGCCCUUUUCAUGAGCUAAUCUUGAACACAAUUGACUAAAUUGAUUAAUAGUUGCCACGUCAAAAUCUAGAUUAUAAACCUGUAAGCAAAUCCAAGUCAUUUCCUGACUAGUUUUCCAAGGCUUUGUAAUUUGUUUGUUUUUUUUUUUUUUUGCCACUGGAAUGUACAUACAAGAAUGAAAUAAAGACCAGCUUCUGGUAACAAUGAGAGAAAACAGAUGUACACUUGGCACAACUUUUGGCACUCUCACAAGUAAGGUAGAGCUCUAGAGCACCUGGCAAUUGAGAGAGGGGUUAAUAUUGACGUAUUCAAGUGAAAAGGAAAGGCCUGUGCUGAUUUGUAAGUUUUGUGAGAGAGAUUGAUGAUGGUGAAUUUAUAUAACUUAAUUGCCACUUGGUAGCUCAAAUGCAAAGCAGCAGUGAACAUCAGUCUUCAUUCUGGUCCUUGAAGGUCACCCCUGCAAUGCCUGGUGGCUCACUGAUGAAGGCAGGAGAGAAAUUAUGACUCCAAACCUGCUCCUCCAAGUGGCUGCCACUGGUCAUGAAGCUUGAAGAAGUUCCUAAUUUUUCCUUGCCUUUAACUCCCACUGCUUGGAAAGUGUGUGGUUCCUCAGACACAGGGCCUUCAAGGCCACAUCCCACCUCUCAGGAGAACAUCCUACCCAGGAGGUGAGGACAGAGCACCUAUGCUGGUAGAAGGCUGCUCUGCAGCCAAAAUACAGCAGAUGGGCCUGGGAGAAACCACAGCCCAACUCUGAGCAGCUUUGCUCUUUGCUCUGGGUACAUGGGACCAAACAGAGCCUGCCAAAAUGUUUGGCUGAAAAUUUUGCCAUUUCUGGAUGUGGUUAAAUGUAGGAGUGAGCUUGGUUUUGUGUGCCUCAGCUUGGACAAGACUUGGACAGAUGGGGCACAUGCUGAACUGCAGUCCUUGGCCCAGGAACCUUUUCUAUCCUGCCUUUGGUCUGCUUAUGUUCAGCUUAGCAGAAAUAUUCAGGACUUGUUUUGGACACUGCUAUGUGCACCUGGCCUCUAUUUCACUUCAAAUGACCAAUAAUUUUGUAUCUGGGCUUAAAGGUAUGGUGAAGAUGUUUAAAACAAUGAACAAAGAAAAAAAAAAAAAGAAAAUAAAGAAUUGAAAAAAGGAACAGAUAAAUGCUUACCUAGUAAUGUAGAAAGGGUUUACUUAUUUUUUAUGUAUAUAAUUUUGUUCCAUUGGAGGAUGAGCAAGGUGUUGGAAAGAAGCAUAUAUUUAUGUCUUACACUGAACACCAUAGCAGUGCAGUGUGUGAAAAAUAAGAGACAUCUAAAUUCUCAGGAUUUUUUUUUCCUUGCAGUAAUGUGGUUCAGACUUGUCCUCACUGACAUAAGUCGGACUUUCCAAAUACUGGUUGGAUGUCACAGAAAAACCUUGAUGCCAGCUGUAGAAAUACUACAGUUUUCACUCUUUCCAUGGCAGUUUUCUUGGGGACAAAAAGGAAUCAAAGAGAUGUCAUCCUGAAGGCAUGUUUGCUGGUGAGAGGAUGGUGGCCCUUGACUCAGAAAUCAGUUGAACUGAACAGUGUCAUGACCCUGCUGUGCAUCAGCUGUGGCAGUAUCUGCACUGUCACCUGGCAGCUAGGCCUGUGACAGAAUUUCAAGUCUUUGGAUUGCUGAGAAGAGUUGGGCCAUGGAAGCAUAUAUUCACAGGUCUGUGUAUUCUGCUGUCAUUUACCUGGCAUCCUUUGUGUACUCCAGCAUCACUGAGUGGAGAUCCCCACAAGAAUUUGCCUCACAGCCAACCACGAUCUAUAGCACAAAUAAAAUCAACUGCUAUAACAAGUCAGAACUGCCCACUUGGAUGUGGGAGGUGCUUUCCUACAACUCUACGUGCAAGCUCCCAGGGCUCAGGU